UAAAUUGAGAGUUUGAUCCUGGCUCAGGACGAACGCUGGCGGCGUGCCUAACACAUGCAAGUCGAGCGAUGAAGCCCUUCGGGGUGGAUUAGCGGCGGACGGGUGAGUAACACGUGGGUAACCUGCCUCAAAGAGGGGGAUAGCCUCCCGAAAGGGAGAUUAAUACCGCAUAACAUUAGUUUUUCGCAUGAAGGACUAAUUAAAGGAGUAAUCCGCUUUGAGAUGGACCCGCGGCGCAUUAGCUAGUUGGUGAGGUAAAGGCUCACCAAGGCGACGAUGCGUAGCCGACCUGAGAGGGUGAUCGGCCACAUUGGAACUGAGACACGGUCCAGACUCCUACGGGAGGCAGCAGUGGGGAAUAUUGCACAAUGGGCGAAAGCCUGAUGCAGCAACGCCGCGUGAGUGAUGAAGGCCUUCGGGUUGUAAAGCUCUGUCUUUUGGGACGAUA
This 448-nucleotide non-coding RNA is filed under the name Clostridium magnum DSM 2767. RNAcentral describes it as "Bacterial small subunit ribosomal RNA". It matches the Rfam family "Bacterial small subunit ribosomal RNA", at positions 1 to 450 of the family's 1533-position model. Lineage: Bacteria; Bacillati; Bacillota; Clostridia; Eubacteriales; Clostridiaceae. The record is from Rfam by way of RNAcentral.